AGUGAACGCUGGCGGUAGGCCUAACACGUGCAAGUCGAACGGCAGCACAGUAAGAGCUUGCUCUUACGGGUGGCGAGUGGCGGACGGGUGAGGAAUACAUCAGAAUCUACUUUUUCGUGGGGGAUAACGUAGGGAAACUUACGCUAAUACCGCAUACGACCUACGGGUGAAAGCAGGGGAUCUUCGGACCUUGCGCGAUUGAAUGAGCCGAUGUCGGAUUAGCUAGUUGGCGGGGUAAAGGCCCACCAAGGCGACGAUCCGUAGCUGGUCUGAGAGGAUGAUCAGCCACACUGGAACUGAGACACGGUCCAGACUCCUACGGGAGGCAGCAGUGGGGAAUAUUGGACAAUGGGCGCAAGCCUGAUCCAGCCAUACCGCGUGGGUGAAGAAGGCCUUCGGGUUGUAAAGCCCUUUUGUUGGGAAAGAAAAGCAGCAGGUUAAUACCCCGCUGUUCUGACGGUACCCAAAGAAUAAGCACCGGCUAACUUCGUG
Molecule: ribosomal RNA, 492 nt
Filed under: uncultured bacterium
Lineage: Bacteria
Description: partial 16S ribosomal RNA
Rfam family: Bacterial small subunit ribosomal RNA
Source: RNAcentral